This 818-nucleotide long non-coding RNA is filed under the name Phoenix dactylifera (date palm). Its description in RNAcentral is "long non-coding RNA (PDAC_LNC007268)". The record is from RNAcentral. Lineage: Eukaryota; Viridiplantae; Streptophyta; Magnoliopsida; Arecales; Arecaceae.
UCCUCUCUCUCUCUCUCUCUCUCUCCCCCUCCCUCUCUCCUCCCAAGACAGAGAGAGAAGAGGAGGUGAGGUGAGCUGGGGUGAGGUGGGGUGCUCGUUGUCCAGUCUUCUCUGACGACCCUCUUGAGCCUUUGAAAUUCUCCAAGCCCCUGAGAGAUAAGGAGACUCGUGGGUUCUUGCUCUUUCUCCCCGUAAAGCAAGUUUGAGUUCGAACAGAAGAAAAAGCUCCUUUUUUGAAGUAAGAAUGCAUUGGUUUAUUCUUUUCUUUAGCCAUUUUUUUUGAAUUUUGUUAGAAAGAUAGGAUUCUGAAGAGAAAAAUGUGGAUUUUUGUCUCGCUUUUGAGAGAGGAGGAAGUUUCUUUGGGCAUCCGUUUCGGUAAUUUUUGGAAUUUCUACGAAAGCAUUAGUUUAUUCUUUGAAUAUUGAGCCUUUGGAACUUUAGUCGUCUGAGCUUGUUUCGUAAACAAAACUCGCUUCUUUCUGGCGACUAGCUUCAGCAUCGGUCAAAUCCCUUAAUAAGUCGGAAUGGUAGGGAAGGGGACCCUCUCUACUUCAAUGGAAAAGGGGGAAUCGCCAUUUCACAGCCGCCCCCCCUACAAAAUUUUUACCUAUCAUUUCGCUUGACAUGAUCACGAACGAAGACAGAGAAUUGCGUAGAUAGGAGGAGGAAACGAACCAACCUCGGGCCCCCAACCAAAAGGGAAUGAAAUGGAGAAAUGAUCGGAACGAUUGAGGAAAGAAGGAGAAAGGUGGCCCCUUUCGCCCUGGGGACAUCGUAGGAGAACAAUAUCGGGGACAGGCUUCGAAGGUUGUUCCAUA